CCCUUAGAUGUCCUGGGCCGCACGCGCGUUACACUGAUGCAUUCAACGAGCUUAUAACCUUGGCCGAGAGGCCUGGGCAAUCUUGUUAACGUGCAUCGUGAUAGGGAUAGAUUAUUGAAAUUAUUAAUCUUGAACGAGGAAUUCCUAGUAAACGCAGAUCAUCAAUCUGCAUUGAUUACGUCCCUGCCCUUUGUACACACCGCCCGUCGCUACUACCGAUUGAAUGGUUUAGUGAGACCCUCGGAUUCGUCCCAGCACAGUGGGUUUCUGCUGAGCUGGUGCGCGGAGAAGACGGUCGAACUUGAUCAUUUAGAGGAAGUAAAAGUCGUAACA
Molecule: ribosomal RNA, 333 nt
Filed under: uncultured eukaryote
Lineage: Eukaryota
Description: partial 18S ribosomal RNA
Rfam family: Eukaryotic small subunit ribosomal RNA
Source: RNAcentral